AAAAUAUGACAGAAAUUUCUGAGUGUUGCAAGUUGAGAGUGGUGAGAGAAAAAUUAACAUUUAUUAAUAAUCAACAGUUGAAGUGUACAUGGACAACAGUAAUUGGUAUUCCCUAAGGCCUCAGAAGAGCAAAGUAGACUGACUGACUGUCUUCUGAUCCGAAUUGAGAGACUCACUUAUCUUGAGUUUGGUUGACAUUCUACGCUCAAACGUGUAGAGCAUUUCUUGUUGAAUCCGAACACGACUGCAAUGUAAAGAAAUACAGAAUCCGGAACCCCAACAUGUAUGAGUCCUGAUGGAAGUGACGAUUACAAGUAGAUACUUGAUCCUGGUAUGGAAUAUUUGGGGCAUUUUGAAUAAUGGAACUAUCCUGGAAUUGCGAGUCAGGUGAUAUUUCCAGGAUAAGAUUCCAGAAGGACGUGGAGUGUGAAGAAGAGACCAAAAUGUACCAUAUUUUGAGAACUACUGGGUCACUUGUUGGUUUACUGAAUCCGCUCCUAAAAGCUCCGAAUCAACUCUAAUUGGAUCAGCAAAUGUAUGCUUUUUAAAUAAAUCCUAAGCAGUUUAUUCAAAUCCCCUGAAGCGUUUAACUACUAAAAAAUAUUUUCCCUAAAAAAAAUAAGCACUUGGAUACUCGUGUAAAUUCAAAUAUCAAACACCUGGCCUUUAUGGAAAUUUGUGCCUCCAUCCCUCCAUAUGUAAAGCCCAAAUUCGAGAUUUGGUGUAUUUUUUUAACGAUCCAUUUAAAAUGUGUUUUCUAAGGUAUGCAGACCACUCAUACUCCGGAAACUGGAUAAGUAAUGCAAUAUAAUCCUCUCUCAAAAUACCAAGAAAAUUUAAAAGC
Long non-coding RNA from Dendroctonus ponderosae (mountain pine beetle), 844 nucleotides. RefSeq lists it as uncharacterized. NCBI's taxonomy places the organism in Eukaryota, Metazoa, Arthropoda, Insecta, Coleoptera, Curculionidae. The transcript has 5 exons. The record is from RefSeq and is a predicted model, not a curated record.